This is a long non-coding RNA of Talpa occidentalis (Iberian mole), 635 nucleotides long. RefSeq lists it as uncharacterized. The record is from RefSeq and is a predicted model, not a curated record. Lineage: Eukaryota; Metazoa; Chordata; Mammalia; Eulipotyphla; Talpidae. The transcript has 6 exons.
CCAGCUUUCAUCGCCUGUGGGAGACUCACUGCAGAGGGAGUUGGCAAGCAGUGUUGAAAUCUCCAACACUUCAUAGUUAUCAUCAGCAACCUAGAGAAAACAUGGUGGUGAGAAUGUAGAUUACACCAGAACAAGAACUUUGCCUUGCUCAUCACUGAAGAGGAGGAAAAUGCACAGAAAUGAAGUGAUGUACUGCAGGUCAAUAGUAAGCUUCAGGGCUGGAUUAAGUAUCAGGGUUCUCAUUCAUGUCACCCUUACCACAUGGAUCCAAACGAUCUGAACUGGAUCUUGCCUAUGUCAUGUGCUCUCUGGACCAGUGUUGAUGAGACAGGGUAACAAUCCUUGGAUGGUAAAUGAAAAAGGAGAAGUUCAGUCCCAUUGUUGUGGGUUAAACUGUGUCCUCCAAAAAGUCUGGAAGAGGAAAAUAAGGACACAGAAAGAGGAACAGCAUGUGGACACAGACACAGAAGAGGAAAGGCCAUUAUGCAGGUGGAGGCAGAGACUGAAGUGAGGCAUGUGCACGUCAAAGAAUGCCACGGGUGAAAGGAGUCUUCCCUAGAACCUUCAGAGGGAGCAUGACCCUACUGACACCCUGAUUUUGACUGCAAAGCCGUAAAAGAAUAAAUCUCUGUUGU